AAUGGGUCAGCGACUUAUAUUCUGUAGCAAGGUUAACCGAAUAGGGGAGCCGAAGGGAAACCGAGUCUUAACUGGGCGUUAAGUUGCAGGGUAUAGACCCGAAACCCGGUGAUCUAGCCAUGGGCAGGUUGAAGGUUGGGUAACACUAACUGGAGGACCGAACCGACUAAUGUUGAAAAAUUAGCGGAUGACUUGUGGCUGGGGGUGAAAGGCCAAUCAAACCGGGAGAUAGCUGGUUCUCCCCGAAAGCUAUUUAGGUAGCGCCUCGUGAAUUCAUCUCCGGGGGUAGAGCACUGUUUCGGCAAGGGGGUCAUCCCGACUUACCAACCCGAUGCAAACUGCGAAUACCGGAGAAUGUUAUCACGGGAGACACACGGCGGGUGCUAACGUCCGUCGUGAAGAGGGAAACAACCCAGACCGCCAGCUAAGGUCCCAAAGUCAUGGUUAAGUGGGAAACGAUGUGGGAAGGCCCAGACAGCCAGGAUGUUGGCUUAGAAGCAGCCAUCAUUUAAAGAAAGCGUAAUAGCUCACUGGUCGAGUCGGCCUGCGCGGAAGAUGUAACGGGGCUAAACCAUGCACCGAAGCUGCGGCAGCGACACUAUGUGUUGUUGGGUAGGGGAGCGUUCUGUAAGCCUGUGAAGGUGGCCUGUGAGGGUUGCUGGAGGUAUCAGAAGUGCG
This 678-nucleotide ribosomal RNA is filed under the name Escherichia coli. RNAcentral's name for it is "partial 23S ribosomal RNA". It matches the Rfam family "Bacterial large subunit ribosomal RNA", at positions 614 to 1292 of the family's 2925-position model. The record is from RNAcentral. Lineage: Bacteria; Pseudomonadati; Pseudomonadota; Gammaproteobacteria; Enterobacterales; Enterobacteriaceae.